Molecule: non-coding RNA, 184 nt
Filed under: Bacillota bacterium
Lineage: Bacteria; Bacillati; Bacillota
Description: 6S RNA
Rfam family: 6S / SsrS RNA
About the family: E. coli 6S RNA was the first non coding RNA to be sequenced, but its function was unknown until recently. It consists of 184 nucleotides that fold into an extended hairpin structure with a large single-stranded internal bulge.
Source: RNAcentral
CAUUCCCUGCGAUGUUCGUGCAGAUGACCGUAUGUUUUGACCCAACACCUUUUAUAAGGGAAGCCUGCUCCGAUCAUGGCCGUCCUGCCUCGCUCGUUCGAGGACUGCGAAAGUGAUCGGGCGGUUACCCACCUGCACACAGCAGGUUUCAAAACCGCGGUCCUCACGGCAAAGCGGGGGUUUU